This 476-nucleotide ribosomal RNA is filed under the name Mesorhizobium sp. RNAcentral describes it as "bacterial SSU rRNA". It matches the Rfam family "Bacterial small subunit ribosomal RNA", at positions 1068 to 1533 of the family's 1533-position model. Lineage: Bacteria; Pseudomonadati; Pseudomonadota; Alphaproteobacteria; Hyphomicrobiales; Phyllobacteriaceae. The record is from RNAcentral.
UGAAAUGUUGGGUUAAGUCCCGCAACGAGCGCAACCCUUAUCCUUUGUUGCCAGCACGUAAUGGUGGGAACUCAAAGGAGACUGCCAGUGAUAAACUGGAGGAAGGUGGGGAUGACGUCAAGUCAUCAUGGCCCUUACGAGUAGGGCUACACACGUGCUACAAUGGCGCAUACAAAGAGAAGCGACCUCGCGAGAGCAAGCGGACCUCAUAAAGUGCGUCGUAGUCCGGAUUGGAGUCUGCAACUCGACUCCAUGAAGUCGGAAUCGCUAGUAAUCGUAGAUCAGAAUGCUACGGUGAAUACGUUCCCGGGCCUUGUACACACCGCCCGUCACACCAUGGGAGUGGGUUGCAAAAGAAGUAGGUAGCUUAACCUUCGGGAGGGCGCUUACCACUUUGUGAUUCAUGACUGGGGUGAAGUCGUAACAAGGUAACCGUAGGGGAACCUGCGGUUGGAUCACCUCCUUACCUUAAAGAA